CUUCCUCCCCACUGUGCCAUUCCCCUCUCCCCUCGCCUCCUCCUCUCCCGAGUCCCUGCGCCACCGGCUCCUCCCCUUCUCUUACUCCUUCUCCUCCCCGUUCCUCUCAUCUCCCUGCCUGGGUUACCGCCGUCGCCCCAGGUGAGUUGUUGCUGGGGGCGGGGCGGGGCGGGGCGGGCUGGUGGCCUCGAGUUUGCCAUUGACAAGGAAGCCGUGGGUGGAGGUGAGACGCUGCUGGAGUUCAAGGUGGCUGAACGCCACGACGGAGCAACAGAUCGGCAGCCUGCGGCCCGCUGACCCCAACCCCUGCGGCCCGGACCUCAGGUCCUCCAGUUCAUGUUAAUUACCCGAAGCUUGGCGAGUUGUGGUGGUUAAUAAUUCCAUUUGCUUUGACGACACUAGAUCAUUAGUCACCGGAUGUUAAGCUCGCUCUGUAGUGUUGCUUACAAUAUUUCCUCAAUUUCCAUUGGUGGGAAUUUUGAGUGAGAAUGAUCCACAUGAUUGACAAGAACAGGGAAUGAUUAGCUUCAAGCACAUAGCAAAGAACGUGAAAAUAAUAUAUUUAACGUUGUAUGGAGAAUUGGAGAUGCAAUACUUGAUGCGCUCCUCUGGAUCUGCUGCCCCUCUUUGUUUCUGAUUAUUGUUCCGCUCAUAUACUAUCAAAUUUCCAUGGAUGGGAUCUGAUGAAUGAGUAUCCCGUGUCUGCGGCAACUCGCAUGGCCUGAUCCGGAAGUACGGGUGUGCUGCAGGCAUUGCUUCCACAACUAUGCCAAGGACAUUGGCUUCAUCAAGUACCAUUAAGAAUGGAACCUCAAAGGAAGCAAGGACUAUGAAGUUAUCAUCAAACUGUGGUGUUUCAACGAGGACGAUCUUUAUCAACAAUGAGGGUUGAAUUAGAUCUUCACAGACAAAUACAUCUUUAUGUAAUAAAAAUGCUGAUAUGAUGAUCGGGAGGAGUUGCAGAAGAUAGAUUUCAAAUGGCUUGAAUAAGAAGAGAUGCAGCUCACUAUUCUAGACAGACUUUGAAGGAUGAAGAAUAAAGAACAUUCUAUGAUCAGGUAACAAUUUAAUCCCUCUGAUUACACUUGUCUAUGCUCCUUUGACUGCCAAUGGCUAUUUCUUUUUGUAUGUUCAGGAGAUACAAAGAAUUAAUUGUUUGAAACUUAAGAUAAUUAAGUUUGCAAGAGUCAUCAACCUGUCUAAAAAACUUCAUUGAAUUCUGCACAUAACAAAUUAUUAGGAAGAUUUCUCAAAUCAUGUAAAUGAUUCUAGAUCAGCCAUCUAACUCCAAUACCAUGCACCAAUGCUUGGAACUCAUGCAAGUGUCAUACUCGCAUUACCAAAUCAGGCUACGAAGACAAGUCUUCGUGCGCACAUGGAUUGCGAAAGAGUGGCAUUUAAAAGGCAGCUGGCAUUUGAUGAAUUGCUGAAUGGUGGUGGUUGCACACCAUGGGGGACAGUGUUCCAAGAGAGGUCUCGAAGAUGGUUAGAGAUUAGGCAGUCCAACAUCAAACAUGAUUGUGCUGAUGUCUGGGUUUUGGCUUGGUGGUGAGGUGCUUGAGGUCGCGGCUCUGCGUCAGGAACCUCCUCUUGAGCGGGCUUGUACUUCAUGGUGGUGAGGUCUAUCUUGAUGGUAGACUAGUUGGUUGAUUAAAUGCCAAUAGGAGCAGCUCAGUGAAUCACUGAUGUAGUCUCACUGUGCAUCAGUAUUGUUGACCUCAGCUCGUCUAUACAUAUGAUCCAUGUAUCGUAUUUAGUUUGUCUCUAAGACUUGGCAUGCCUGUGUUCUGAUGAUCCGAGGAACUCUGCCUCUCUUUUGGAGAUCAUCCACCUUUUGGAGACUGUUAAACCUUGAUUUGAAAAUCUGGAUGUGUCUAUGACAGUCAUCCACCUUGUAAGAUUGUCAUCUAUCUGUUACCUAUUAGCAUCGAUCAAACUA
This is a long non-coding RNA of Triticum aestivum (bread wheat), 1939 nucleotides long. RefSeq lists it as uncharacterized. The record is from RefSeq and is a predicted model, not a curated record. NCBI's taxonomy places the organism in Eukaryota, Viridiplantae, Streptophyta, Magnoliopsida, Poales, Poaceae. The transcript is spliced from 10 exons.